AGCGGGCCAGCUCCACUGCGGGUACUUUAACUCCUGCUCGGAGCUCCAGCGCUGAGCGUCCUCAGAUCAAGGAGACAUUCAAUAUCUUAUUCACCUGAGAGGCAGUUUCUGGAAGGUUGACCUGGGACUCUAGUUCAGGGUCUUUCGUUGGCCAUGUCUGAAGGGGCUGGAUGCCGAAGGAGAGAGACGACUUUGCUUUCC
This 201-nucleotide long non-coding RNA is filed under the name Homo sapiens (human). RNAcentral's name for it is "HSALNT0354942". Lineage: Eukaryota; Metazoa; Chordata; Mammalia; Primates; Hominidae. The record is from RNAcentral.